ACCACCACCACCUUGCCAGGCAAGAGUUCCAGCUAUUCCCACGUGCUCUGGUGCUUGCUUACUUGCGAGUAAGCCUCCCUGAACUGGGCUGCACCUGCUGUAUGGCGAACAGACAAAGGGAUCGGGGCAGAGAUGGAAGGAUGACCUGGAGAAACCUUGUUUUCCUGUGGGGGGUGGUGGUGGAGAGUAGAGCACCUGUUGAAUAUCUGCCUGUGGGUCGCAGGGCAUUUAAAGGCACAGAUAAACAUCAAUGGGGGUGGGGUGUGGAAAGCCAGAUUAUAUAUUUAAUAUGUAUAUUACAGGGCUUAGGAUAGUGUCUGGCCAGAAUGGCUUGCAAAAUUCAAAACGGUGGAAACUUAUGAAAGAAUCAGGAAACUUUUUAUUUCUUCUUAGGUGUGCAAGAUUGCACAGUUAAAGAUGCCUGCUAGAGUUUUCCCGGAUGGGGAGUUCCAAAGUCUGGGUUCCCAUUGAAGAUGAGGGCCGCUCUUCCAUGGCUACAGAAAAAAAAAACGUGCAAAUCUUACUUGUGUACUACAGUUCCUAUAAUCCACCAGCUGCCAUCACCACGCUGGCUGGGGGAUUCUGGGUGGUGUGUUCCACGAAAGUAUCCUCAAUAAGCUUGCAAAGAAUUUGCUUCAUUGCAUUUGUUAAAUACAGUACAUCAUAAAAUAGGUGUCUCUAGGCAUUAAGCACGGCAGUUUAUAAUAUUUCCAACAUUUAAAAAAUUCAGCUGGAUCACAAUAAAACACUCAUGAUGAGCACAACACAAAAGGAAGCGGAGAUCAGGGAAGACUUGUGUGGAGGCACCUUUGAAGGCUGGCAGAUGUAUUAUGGCAGAGCCGCAGGUGAGGUGGGAAUUAAAUUCAGGAGGGGAAAGAAGGCAAAAAAAAAAAUCAGUAAUGGUGCUACUUUACUGGUUUCGUUUUACCUUUUCCGUAGCAUUGCAAAAUGCAAUAACCGAAGGCAAUCCACACAAAAACCCAGCCAGGCUCCCUAGGAAAGAUGGGAAGGGAUCCUAUGGAACUCAGUGGGAUUUACUUCUGUGUAAAAGACUACGGCUUCUAGAAUCCCUCAGAGGCUGUACUGGCUCAGAGAGGGCAGGAGCUUUACUCGGAAAAUAUAACUUUUUCAAGGAGCAAUUAUGAUCUGUACCAGAGCGAUGGAUGCAUAUAAAUCCCUUUGUGUGUUUGUGUGUGUUCUAGGCUGUCAAGUCAGAACCGGCGUAUAGCGACCUCAGUAGAGAGCUUCCAAGUUAAGUGAGAUAUUCAAGAAGUGGCUUGGCCAGUUCCACCCCUCCAGUGACCUUUCAUGGCCAAGUGGAGAUUUGAACCCUGUUCUCCAGAGUCCCAGUCUUAUCACUCUAUCCACUGCGUCACACUGGAAAUCCAUUGGUGUCGAUUUACAUGGCAUUGGCUUCUAAACCCGCAGCCACAAAACUGUCCGGUCUUAUUUAAAGUUUCUGUUGUUGCUGGCGGUCCGCAUCUCAGUGCUUUCCACCCUCUUUCAACUGGAGUUUGUGGUCCAGCCAGUAACCUCUGAUGAAUGGGAAGAGAAAGGAUCAGGUUUCUGAAGUUGAGCGACUUUCAUGUUUCUCAAUACAUGAAAGGGAAAGCUAUUUGCAUUUAGCCAGAUCAUGUGGAUCAUACGGCAGCAUUUUUAUUAGAAGGAAGAAAUAGGUGGAAGAGAGAGUGACAAAUACAGUUGUGCCCCUCUGAACAAUUACCCCGCAUUACGAUGAAUCCGCUUCACGACGAAGUUUUUGCAAUCACAAUUGCGACCACAAAACUAUGGUCUAAAUGGGGUUUUUUUCACUUUGCAAAGAUCGGUUCCCUGCUUCAGGAACUCAUUCUUCGCAUUACGACGAUCAAAACAGCUGAACGUCGGGUUUUCAAAAUGGCCACCGGGUGCUCAAAAUGGCUCCCUGCUGAGCUUAGGGAUGGAUUCCUUGCUAUACAGGCACAGAAAAUGGCCACUGUAUCUAGGAUCUUCGCUGGACGGUGAGUUUUUAGCCCAUUGGAAUGCAUUAACCGGGUUUUAAUGCGUUUCAAUGGGUUUUUUAGUUUUGCUAUACGACGUUUUCGCUCUACA
This is a long non-coding RNA of Pogona vitticeps (central bearded dragon), 2088 nucleotides long. Lineage: Eukaryota; Metazoa; Chordata; Lepidosauria; Squamata; Agamidae. The record is from Ensembl.